RNAcentral lists this ribosomal RNA (208 nucleotides) under uncultured Acinetobacter sp. RNAcentral describes it as "partial 16S ribosomal RNA". It matches the Rfam family "Bacterial small subunit ribosomal RNA", at positions 568 to 775 of the family's 1533-position model. Lineage: Bacteria; Pseudomonadati; Pseudomonadota; Gammaproteobacteria; Moraxellales; Moraxellaceae. The record is from RNAcentral.
CGCGUAGGUGGCCAAUUAAGUCAAAUGUGAAAUCCCCGAGCUUAACUUGGGAAUUGCAUUCGAUACUGGUUGGCUAGAGUAUGGGAGAGGAUGGUAGAAUUCCAGGUGUAGCGGUGAAAUGCGUAGAGAUCUGGAGGAAUACCGAUGGCGAAGGCAGCCAUCUGGCCUAAUACUGACACUGAGGUGCGAAAGCAUGGGGAGCAAACAG